UCUCUCUCUCUCUCUGUCUGCUGUCACACCUUUGUGUUUGACCUUGCUGUCUGUGGGAUCCUGCUGUAUGGAACAGCUGCUGUUACCUGUGAAGCACUGGGUGACUGCAAGUCAAACAAGCUGUCUGUCUCACUCAUGAAAAAGUUGAUUUCAAACUGAACUCUGCACAUCGUCCAGGAAACCCUUUGACAAAUGAUAGCGAGGCCUUGGUUGAAGGUUAAUCAUGAAAACUUGCAAAGCCUUUGCAAAAGUGGUGGACAAAUGUAGGACAGUAAUGGGCUGGGUUGGCAGCAGUUCCGGGGCAGAGGCGAGAGCCUGGCAGCACCAUGUCGAUGCCCGCCCUGCCCCACCAGCCAGAGUGGGCCUCCAUGAGACAAGCUUCGAGCAAGCAGAAACGUCUGGAGGAAUACCUGAACACAAUGCUUGAGAAAUCCUUCUACAGAAACUAUCACGCAAUGGUAAGGCCAAUCCCUGAGUUCCCCUCUCUCUGUGAUAUGUGUCAUAAAACCUCCACCUCUUC
Molecule: non-coding RNA, 520 nt
Organism: Chiloscyllium plagiosum (whitespotted bambooshark)
Lineage: Eukaryota; Metazoa; Chordata; Chondrichthyes; Orectolobiformes; Hemiscylliidae
Source: RefSeq, a predicted model, not a curated record